This 450-nucleotide ribosomal RNA is filed under the name uncultured bacterium. RNAcentral describes it as "partial 16S ribosomal RNA". It matches the Rfam family "Bacterial small subunit ribosomal RNA", at positions 354 to 796 of the family's 1533-position model. The record is from RNAcentral.
GUGGGGAAUUUUGGACAAUGGGGGCAACCCUGAUCCAGCCAUUCCGCGUGAGUGAAGAAGGCCUUCGGGUUGUAAAGCUCUUUCGUCAGGAACGAAACGGCGGGCUCUAACAUAGCCUGUUAAUGACGGUACCUGAAGAAGAAGCACCGGCUAACUACGUGCCAGCAGCCGCGGUAAUACGUAGGGUGCGAGCGUUAAUCGGAAUUACUGGGCGUAAAGCGUGCGCAGGCGGAUUGUUAAGCAAGACGUGAGAUCCCCGGGCUUAACCUGGGAAUGGCGUUUUGAACUGGCAGUCUAGAGUGCGUCAGAGGGGGGUGGAAUUCCACGUGUAGCAGUGAAAUGCGUAGAGAUGUGGAGGAACACUGAUGGCGAAGGCAGCCCCCUGGGAUGACACUGACGCUCAUGUACGAAAGCGUGGGUAGCAAACAGGAUUAGAAACCCCGGUAGUCC